Molecule: ribosomal RNA, 497 nt
Filed under: uncultured bacterium
Lineage: Bacteria
Description: partial 16S ribosomal RNA
Rfam family: Bacterial small subunit ribosomal RNA
Source: RNAcentral
GAUGAACGCUGGCGGCGUGCCUAAUACAUGCAAGUCGAGCGAACAGACGAGGAGCUUGCUCCUCUGACGUUAGCGGCGCACGGGGGAGUAACACGUGGAUAACCCACCUAUAAGACUGGUAUAACUUCGGGAAACCGGAGCUAAUACCGGAUAAUAUAUUGAACCGCAUUGUUCAAUAGUGAAAGACGGUUUUGCUGUCACUAAUAGAUGGAUCCGCGCCGCAUUAGCUAGUUGGUAAGUUACAAGCUUUCCAAGGCAACGAUGCGUAGCCGACCUGAGAGAGUGAUAGGCCACACUGGAAGUGAGACACGGUCCAGGCUCCUAAGGGAGGCAGCAGUAGGGAAUCUUCCGCAAUGGGCGAAAGCAUGACGGAGCAACGCCGCGUGAGUGAUGAAGGUCUUCGGAUCGUAAAACUCUGUUAUUAGGGAAGAACAAAUGUGGAAGUAACUAUGCACGUCUUGACGGUAACUAAUCAGAAAGCCACGGCUAACUACGUG